GGUGGGUGGAUGGAUGGGUGGUUGGACGGACUGAUGGUAGAUGAUGUUGGAUGGAUGGGUGGUUGGAUGGGGGGAUGACAGAUGUUGGGUGGAUAGAGAAAGGGAUGAACGGAUGGAUGGAUGGAUAGAUGGAUGGACGGACUGACGUGAUACAGCAGAUGUAGCAAAAUGCUAAUUGCACGAUCUGGGUGGUGAGGGUAUUGAUGGUCCCUACAGAGUUCUUCCAACUUUUCUGUAUGUUUGGAAGUUUUCAUAAUGAAGUAUCGGAGAGAAAGCCUGUGGCCAAGUGUCCCUUACAGCUUCCUUAGCAAACUCAAGCAGCUUGUUAAAAAUUAAGACUCCUGACCCCACCAGGCCCACCUCGUAGCUUUGGGGAGUGAGGCCUGAGAGAUGGCGUUUCCGAAGGUCUGCUGCAGCUCUUGUGAGCCCGGGGUGUUAAAAACACGGCAGAGAAGUCGCCGCGGGAAAGCCGAUCCCAACAAGCAGGCACAGCUCUGUCACCCCAGGGCCCUGCGGCACCUGCCUCAACAAGGCACUGCAGGUCCUGCGCCCUGACCGCCACGCUGGGAUCCAGGCCGCGGGCCUCCAGAGGAUCCGAAACGCUCACCCCAGGAUCGCGUGUCGCCCUACGGUCUCCAGGACCACGUCUACUUCUGAUUACGCCGCCAGCUCCAUGGAAAGUAGCUGCUCACGGGAGGGCCCGCGAGUGGUUUGCUUGUGCACCGAACACACAUCUAGUGAGCACGCGGGACGCUUCGGGUUCUGUGCGACGGCGAGGCGGGGAGGGGGCGGUUCUGGAACCCUCUCUCACAGGAACACCUUGCUCUACAGUCCUCACGUCAGGGUCUGCUUGUGAGGAAAGCCAGAGUUGGUCGGACUCAGGACAGCACGCCGGGGAAGGAAGUGGGGUGGAGGCACGGAGGAGCCGACACCAGAGGGGAAGCCAGGAGCACGAUGCCAGGAAGCCACAGCGAUGUGGCUGCCGGGAGGGGCCGCAGGGAGGGGCUGCGUGACCCCUGCCUCAGGGUUACGCCAAGAACACUGCUGACUGGGGGGAAUGAGGCUGGGGCUGUGGGACCCCUGGCCUCUUUGUCAGAAGAGCCCAGAAGCCCCAGCACCGAGCAGCACUGGCGGCGGGUACGUUCCGGCUUGCAGGGAGCCGGUGCUCCUCGAGGCUGGUUCUCCGGGCCCUGGGCAGCCCUGGGCAGCCUC
Molecule: long non-coding RNA, 1212 nt
Filed under: Suricata suricatta (meerkat)
Lineage: Eukaryota; Metazoa; Chordata; Mammalia; Carnivora; Herpestidae
Description: lncRNA (ENSSSUG00005021294.1)
Source: RNAcentral